This is an RNA transcript of Sceloporus undulatus (fence lizard), 1590 nucleotides long. It is a transcript of the gene named choline phosphotransferase 1, with no coding region annotated. The transcript has 9 exons. The record is from RefSeq and is a predicted model, not a curated record. Lineage: Eukaryota; Metazoa; Chordata; Lepidosauria; Squamata; Phrynosomatidae.
GGAGCAGAGGCCUCCACCAGGCCAGCCUCCUUCCUUCCUUCCUUCCUUCCUUCCUGCCUCUGGUCUCUUGCCUCGCCUGGGCCUUGGCUUGGGGGGAUGGCGCUGCCGGAGCCGCUGAGCCUGGCGCAGCUGAGGCGCCUGGAGCAGCACCGCUACGCCGCCUCGGGCCGCUCGCUGCUGGAGCCGCCUCUGCAGCGCUACUGGGCCUGGCUGCUGGAGCGGACCCCGGCCUGGCUGGCCCCCAACGCCCUCACCCUGGGCGGCCUGGCCCUCAACCUCCUCCCCAGCCUGGCCCUCCUCGCCUACUGCCCCAGCGCCACCGAGCAGGCUCCUCCUUGGGUGUUCCUCUCGUGUGCAUUAGGACUCUUUAUGUACCAGUCACUGGAUGCUAUUGAUGGGAAGCAAGCCAGAAGAACUAACAGCAGCUCUCCUUUGGGAGAACUCUUUGACCAUGGCUGUGACUCCAUUUCCACAGUUUUUGUUGGUAUCGGAGCCUGCAUAGCAGUUCGACUUGGAACAAAUCCAGACUGGCUGUUUUUCUGUUCCUUUGUUGGGAUGUUCCUGUUUUAUUGUGCUCACUGGCAAACCUAUGUAUCAGGCAUGCUAAAGUUUGGCAAAGUUGAUGUUACUGAAGUACAGAUAGCCAUAAUUCUGCUCUUCUUGUUAUCUGCAUUUGGUGGAACAACAAUGUGGGAUGCAAAGAUUCCUGUGUUAGACCUAACACUGAAGAUGAUUCCUGUGGCUGGGAUAGUGUGUGGUGCAAUAUUUUCCAGUUACAAUUAUUUCAGAGUUAUCUUUGGAGGAGGAGUGGGGAAGAAUGGAUCUACAAUAGCAGGAACAAGUGUUCUGUCACCAGGACUCCAUAUAGGAUUAAUUAUUACUUUGGCAAUAAUGAUCUAUAAAAAAUCCUCAACACACCUGUUUGAAAAGCAUCCUUGCCUCUAUGCCUUAACAUUUGGGUUUGUGAGUGCCAAGAUCACACAGAAAUUAGUGAUAGCACAUAUGACAAAAAGUGAAAUCUUCUUACAAGAUACUGCAUUUAUUGGACCAGGCCUCUUAUUUCUAAACCAGUACUUCAAUGGUUUUAUUGAUGAAUAUAUCGUUCUGUGGAUAGCACUGUUCAUAUCCUUGCUUGAUAUGCUGAGAUACUCAAUUGGGGUAUGCAUACAGAUUGCUGCUCAUCUUCAUAUACAAGUCUUCAAAAUCUCAUCUCAUCAAGCUCCCGAACAGGUUCAAAACCAUAAUGAGUGACUUAUAGCUAAAGGCGAAGAGGAGAAGGAGUUGGGGGGAAUUGUGGAAUUAUGGAAAAUACGUUUUUUAAGGAAUGCAGAUGUGGAAGCUUGUAAAGAAACCCAGGUAGAAGUUGUUUCUCCACUGAGCCAUCAGAAUAACAUGGAUUGAAGAGAUUUGCGAACAGUUGCCAUCUCUUGCUGUUGCUGUUAUAAGAAAAAAGAAAAAUACUGAUGGAUUGUAACAUUUUGUACCAUAGUGUUCUGACAUGAAUUAUAAAUACUGAAUGUAUAAUUUUUCUAUUUAAAUGUUCUAUUUUAAAAUGUUACUGAAGUUUUCAUAAAUCAGUAUUAACACUCA